Molecule: ribosomal RNA, 291 nt
Filed under: uncultured bacterium
Lineage: Bacteria
Description: partial 16S ribosomal RNA
Rfam family: Bacterial small subunit ribosomal RNA
Source: RNAcentral
GACGAACGCUGGCGGCGUGCCUAACACAUGCAAGUCGAGCGAGAUUAUCUUCGGAUAGUCUAGCGGCGGACGGGUGAGUAACACGUGGGUAACCUGCCUCAUAGAGGGGGAUAGCCUCCCGAAAGGGAGAUUAAUACCGCAUAAUUUGACACUGGCGCAUGCCAGAGUCAGUAAAGGAGUAAUCCGCUAUGAGAUGGACCCGCGGCGCAUUAGCUAGUUGGAGAGGUAACGGCUCACCAAGGCGACGAUGCGUAGCCGACCUGAGAGGGUGAUCGGCCACAUUGGAACUGA